This 377-nucleotide ribosomal RNA is filed under the name uncultured bacterium. RNAcentral describes it as "bacterial SSU rRNA". It matches the Rfam family "Bacterial small subunit ribosomal RNA", at positions 521 to 896 of the family's 1533-position model. The record is from RNAcentral.
UAAUACGGAAGGGGCAAGCGUUGUUCGGAAUCAUUGGGCGUAAAGGGCGCGUAGGCGGUCUUGUUUGUCUGCUGUGAAAGUCCACGGCUCACCCGUGGAGAGUCGGUGGAAACGGCAAGACUUGAGGCUGGGAGGGGUUGGUGGAAUUCCCUGUGUAGCGGUGAAAUGCGUAGAUACGGGGGAGAACACUCGUGGCGAAGGCGGCCAGCUGGCCCAGUCCUGACGCUGAGGCGCGACAGCGUGGGGAGCAAACAGGAUUAGAUACCCUGGUAGUCCACGCCGUAAACGAUGGGCACUAGGUGUCGGCGGUUUUGAGUCCGUCGGUGCCGGCGCUAACGCAGUAAGUGCCCCGCCUGGGGAGUACGGUCGCAAGGCUG